CCUACGGGAGGCAGCAGUGGGGAAUAUUGGACAAUGGGCGAAAGCCUGAUCCAGCAAUGCCGCGUGAGUGAUGAAGGCCUUAGGGUUGUAAAGCUCUUUUACCAGGGAUGAUAAUGACAGUACCUGGAGAAUAAGCUCCGGCUAACUCCGUGCCAGCAGCCGCGGUAAUACGGAGGGAGCUAGCGUUGUUCGGAAUUACUGGGCGUAAAGCGUACGUAGGCGGUUAUUCAAGUCAGAGGUGAAAGCCCGGGGCUCAACCCCGGAACUGCCUUUGAAACUAGAUAGCUAGAAUCUUGGAGAGGUUAGUGGAAUUCCGAGUGUAGAGGUGAAAUUCGUAGAUAUUCGGAAGAACACCAGUGGCGAAGGCGACUAACUGGACAAGUAUUGACGCUGAGGUACGAAAGCGUGGGGAGCAAACAGGAUUAGAUACCCUGGUAGUCCACGCCGUAAACGAUGAUAACUAGUUGUUCGGGCACUUGGUGCCUGAGUGACGCAGCUAACGCAUUAAGUUAUCCGCCUGGGGAGUACGGUCGCAAGAUUAAAACCUUAAAUGAAUUGACGG
This 562-nucleotide ribosomal RNA is filed under the name uncultured bacterium. Its description in RNAcentral is "bacterial SSU rRNA". It matches the Rfam family "Bacterial small subunit ribosomal RNA", at positions 338 to 916 of the family's 1533-position model. The record is from RNAcentral.